AGCGAACGCUGGCGGCAGGCUUAACACAUGCAAGUCGAGCGGGCACUUCGGUGUCAGCAGCAGACGGGUGAGUAACACGUGGGAACGUACCCUUUGGUUCGGAAUAACGCUGGGAAACUAGCGCUAAUACCGGAUACGCCCUUUUGGGGAAAGGCUUGCUGCCGAAGGAUCGGCCCGCGUCUGAUUAGCUAGUUGGUGGGGUAAUGGCCUACCAAGGCGACGAUCAGUAGCUGGUCUGAGAGGAUGAUCAGCCACACUGGGACUGAGACACGGCCCAGACUCCUACGGGAGGCAGCAGUGGGGAAUAUUGGACAAUGGGCGCAAGCCUGAUCCAGCCAUGCCGCGUGAGUGAUGAAGGCCUUAGGGUUGUAAAGCUCUUUUGUCCGGGACGAUAAUGACGGUACCGGAAGAAUAAGCCCCGGCUAACUUCGUG
This 433-nucleotide ribosomal RNA is filed under the name uncultured bacterium. RNAcentral's name for it is "partial 16S ribosomal RNA". It matches the Rfam family "Bacterial small subunit ribosomal RNA", at positions 29 to 507 of the family's 1533-position model. The record is from RNAcentral.